Molecule: long non-coding RNA, 1806 nt
Filed under: Vigna radiata
Lineage: Eukaryota; Viridiplantae; Streptophyta; Magnoliopsida; Fabales; Fabaceae
Description: long non-coding RNA (VRAD_LNC012219)
Source: RNAcentral
AAGGUAGGGGUGCAGCUGUGAAUAAUGGGGGUGGCACGUAGUAGCUGAUGGUCAGGUCCAAGGCCUUCUUCUUCAACCUUUAAUCUGACAGGGGUGCAAGGUGGAACAGUGGAGGUGCAACUUGAAAUAACCUGUCCNGGCCCAAUCUUCUUUGCAGCAAUGGAGUGGGAGUGUGAAUAGGAAACAGAGGUGGUGGCAGGCAGAGAUAAAGGCCCGAUAUCCAGGCCCUGUAACAUAGGGGUGUGAAUAACAGACGCGUGGUGGCAGGAAGAAAGGGCGGCCCACCAGCCAAGCCCAAAAUCUCUUAACCCUAACAGCUGAUAGGGGUUUCUCCAAUUUCAUUCAUUAUGCCAAACACCAAGACCUAGGGUCAUCUUCUCUGAACGGAAGAAACCCGAGCCUCCCCCUUGCCCGAAGACGCUGCCGCCUCCGCUGGACUAGCCGCCACCGAACCCACCGUCGUGAGUGGCGGUACAAAACGUCGUCGGUGACGACACUUUCUGCCGGAGCCCUCGUCGGUCACGACUCCAAAUCCCCCUUCCUUUCUUUUCUUUGCGCGAGAGAAAACCUCAGCUGGUACACGCGGCUGAUGCCGGCAACAGCCGUGGUUGCGCCACCAAACGCCUGGGAUGCCACCAAGCCAGGGCCUCCACUCAACGUCGAUCUCCCUCCACCACCGUCGCGUCUCCGCUGCUGGUUUUCUUUUUACUAGGUCGCGUGGACUUCCUCUUCUCCCAUCGUGCUGCCGCCACCGCUGAGCCUGCCACAAGCCGCAAGCCGCAAGCCAAGGUCACCGUUCUUGCUUAAACCGUUUUUCAUCGGAGUAUCUUCUUGUGCAGUAUGAUUUUCCUCAUCUCGGGUUUCUUCUUCUGCUUGAAGCCACCUUCAAUGGUGAUUGUCCCUCUCUUAAGAGGAAUCACACUCGUGCCGCCGAUGAAACUGCUACGAUUAUUCUCCUCAAAUACUUUCCCCACUCAAAUUCGUGAAGACCAUCUCUUCUUCUUCUCUCUUAGCUUCUCUGCCUGUAACUAAGAAAAUGAAUGCGCGUGUUGAAUGCGUGUUCACAGGUCUAUGGUUUCAUUUCCCUUUUGAAUCUUGGUUUCCUGUCGCUGUUCUUGAUGAAUUUGAUUUUUGUAUGGUAUUGGUUGAUGGAAUGUUUCGUAGUAUGAUGUGCCCUUCUGUUCUUCCUCCCUUAUUCUCUGUCUGGUUUCUUUUUCUUAAAAUGGUGUGCGCCUGAAUGAGGGAUAACAGAGGACGAAUUGUGGUUGCUGGUGUGAGUAUGACGGUCUCUGUUCUUGGUGGUUUCUGUUUUUUUUCAUUUUUUUCACUGCAGGUUGAGAGUGAGGAUCAUAAUGGAUGAUGGAGAUGGAGUUUAGGAAGUGAGGGAAUGAGUUUUCUGUUGUGUGUGAUGAGGGUGUAGAAGUGGAGGGGCUGAAUCGGUUAUGUGGUGAGGGAGUAAUUCCGCGUAGUGUGUUCUGAGGCGUUCUGUGUGUGUGAUCAUUGCUGGAUAAUUUCUGAGAGUAAGUGAUGGAUCCCUUGGAGGUGGUUACGGAUUAUCUGAGAAUCCAUGAUGGCGUGAUGAGGACAAAACCAGUAUCUGUUGUGAGCAGUGCAAUUGAGUGAUCAGAGUUGGUGAAUGAGGUGAUGGAAUGGAGGGUGAAAAAUGGUGAGGAAGCCACGUGUGCGGACCAGAAGAACAGAGAAGUAGAGAGCUCAAAAAUAAUGCUUCAGUGAAUUCUGUUCUUCCCCCCUUUACAACAAACUUUUUUCUUUUUUCUUUCACGUUCUUUUUCUCUCUUUUUUUUU